AAGUCGUAACAAGGUUUCCGUAGGUGAACCUGCGGAAGGAUCAUUAAUGAAAGAUAAUUUUUUGGGGUUUUCCCUGAAAAAUAAUUCACCUUUUGUGCAUUGUUAUUUAGAUAUACUUUGGUUAGUGCUUUGGUUCCAAAGCAACUGGAAUCAACUUCUUGCUGACUCUAUCCUUUCUAAGGACAGUUGGCUAUGAAGCGGCCUACCAAGGUUUUUUAUCAAACUCUUGUAUUUGUCUGACCUAAACUAUUAUAAUUAAAUCAUAACUUUCAACAACGGAUCUCUUGGCUCUC
Molecule: unclassified non-coding RNA, 293 nt
Filed under: fungal sp.
Lineage: Eukaryota; Fungi
Description: partial internal transcribed spacer region
Rfam family: Eukaryotic small subunit ribosomal RNA (bases 1-46)
Source: RNAcentral